Molecule: ribosomal RNA, 624 nt
Filed under: uncultured fungus
Lineage: Eukaryota; Fungi
Description: eukaryotic LSU rRNA
Rfam family: 5.8S ribosomal RNA (bases 257-414)
Source: RNAcentral
AAGUCCGUAACAAGGUUUCCGUAGGUGAACCUGCGGAAGGAUCAUUAAAGAGAAGGAGCCAAAUCCUCCCGGAGGCUCCGCCUCCAAACUCUUCACCGCUUGUCUAUCUAACCUUUUGUUGCUUCGGCGAGCCUUCGCGGGCUCAGUCCGCGAAGCCGGACCCGGGACCUGCGCCCGCCGUCGGAUCGCGCUCGCGGAGGACCCUCAAAACCCCGAUCUAUCCAUGCAGUCUGAGCGAAACACAAUCAAAACUAAAAACUUUCAACAACGGACUCUCUUGGUUCUGGCAUCGAUGAAGAACGCAAGCGAAAUGGCGAUAAGUAAUGCGAAUUGCAGAAUUCAGUGAGGUCAUCGAAUCUUUGAACGCACAUUGCGCCCCUCGGUAUUCCGGGGGGCAUGCCUGUUCGAGCGUCAUUGCACCCCUCAAGCGGUAGCUUGGUGUUGGGCCCUCGUCCUCGAGCGGACCGUGCCCGAAAACGAGUGGGCGGUCCGGUGUGACUUCAAGCGUAGUAAAAGACGAUAUCCCGCUUUGGAAGGCCUUCGCACCGCGAUCUGCCAAGAACCUUUACUUUUUUCAAUGAUUGACCUCUGAUUCACAGUGUAGGGAAUACCCGCUGAACUUAA